This 478-nucleotide ribosomal RNA is filed under the name uncultured bacterium. RNAcentral's name for it is "partial 16S ribosomal RNA". It matches the Rfam family "Bacterial small subunit ribosomal RNA", at positions 28 to 507 of the family's 1533-position model. The record is from RNAcentral.
GAUGAACGCUGGCGGCGUGCCUAACACAUGCAAGUCGAACGGAGUCCAGCCUUAGAGACCUUCGGGUCAAAGAGGGGAAGACUGAGUGGCGGACGGGUGAGUAACACGUGGGCAACCUGGCUCAUAGAGGGGGAUAACAGAGAGAAAUUUCUGCUAAUACCGCAUAAGCACACACUGCCGCAUGGCAGAGUGUGAAAAGAGAAUCGCUAUGAGAUGGACCCGCGUCUGAUUAGCCAGUUGGCAGGGUAAGAGCCUACCAAAGCGACGAUCAGUAGCCGAUGUGAGAGGAUGCACCGCCACAUUGGGACUGAGACACGGCCCACACUCCUACGGGAGGCAGCAGUGGGGGAUAUUGCACAAUGGGGGGAACCCUGAUGCAGCGACGCCGCGUGAGUGAAGAAGUAUUUCGGUAUGUAAAGCUCUAUCAGCAGGGAAGAUAAUGACAGUACCUGAAUAAGAAGCCCCGGCUAACUACGUG